This 948-nucleotide unclassified non-coding RNA is filed under the name Hevea brasiliensis (rubber tree). The record is from RNAcentral. Lineage: Eukaryota; Viridiplantae; Streptophyta; Magnoliopsida; Malpighiales; Euphorbiaceae.
AUCCUAUAGCUCUCCUAGAGGUAACGGAAAAUUCUUUUCUUUAAUUCAUUAUUCUUUCUUCCAUGAUCACGAUUGUUAACUUUGUACCAUCGAUUGUUAACUUUGUAAUGAUUCGAUUUAUUAGCUCAUAAUAAUCUUGUUUAAUUGAUGAUUGAUUGAUAAGGGUUUUCUUGCAGAGUUAGUUUGAAAAUGAAAUUGAAUGCUAUUUUUUUUUAAUUUUAUGAGGAAAUUAGGACCCAUGCUUAUUAUUUUGUUUCAUUUUUAUUUUUAUUUUCAAAAAUAAUCAAAAUUUCUACCAUGUAAUUUUGUAAUCCUUAUGGGUGUAUAAUUCCUCUCUGUCUCUCUUUCUUAUGUUAGACCAAUUCUUUCAUGGUUUAAAGUGGGCAAAGGAUUCAUUCCUUGCUUUAGAGUUUUGGAGUUGACUUUUUAAUGUGGUCUUCAUUUAUAAUUGGUUUGAGCUUGACAGCAAAAUUGGGUGAUUUUAAUGUGUUGUUAUGGUAUUUGAAGCUAGAAUUUCAUAUUUUAGAAUUGACUGUCAUAGAAAAGGAUAAUAGAAUAAUUAAUUUUUUGCUUUGCCACCUCUUACACCUUUGAGGCUUUUACCCUUGUUGAUGAUUUAUUCUUUAUGAUGGACUUUUUCUUUUCUAUUCGAUUUUAUUCAAGGAUCCGGAGAACUCAUAGAUUUUUUUUUUUAAAUUUUUUUAUGGGGUUUAUCCUAUAGCAUUUGUGCAUCUUUCAUAACUUUAGCAUUUUCAUAGCAUUGUAAUUAACAUAUCCACUUUGUGAAAUGUAAUCUUCAUUUUGCAUUUUUAACUUUGUUUUUAACCCAAAAAAUGAUUGGGAAAAUUAAUGUAAUUAACAGUAAUUAGACUAGAUAAUAGAUUCCCUUUCGUAAGUAAUCACUAUGGGCAAAUUCAAGAAAUUUAGGAGAAUAAUUGUGUGGUGAGG